UACGGGGGGGGCAAGCGUUGUUCGGAAUUACUGGGCGUAAAGGGCUCGUAGGCGGCCAACUAAGUCGGAUGUGAAAUCCCCAAGCUUAACUUGGGAACUGCAUCCGAUACUGGAUGGCUUGAAUCCGGGAGAGGGAUGCAGAAUUCCAGGUGUAGCGGUGAAAUGCGUAGAUAUCUGGAGGAACACCGGUGGCGAAGGCGGCAUCCUGGACCAAUUCUGACGCUGAGGAGCGAAAGCCAGGGGAGCAAACGGG
This 253-nucleotide ribosomal RNA is filed under the name uncultured bacterium. RNAcentral describes it as "partial 16S ribosomal RNA". It matches the Rfam family "Bacterial small subunit ribosomal RNA", at positions 524 to 776 of the family's 1533-position model. The record is from RNAcentral.